Long non-coding RNA from Piliocolobus tephrosceles (Ugandan red Colobus), 1541 nucleotides. RefSeq lists it as uncharacterized. The record is from RefSeq and is a predicted model, not a curated record. The transcript has 2 exons. Lineage: Eukaryota; Metazoa; Chordata; Mammalia; Primates; Cercopithecidae.
GGACCAGAUUACUGAGGGGUAUUGAUUUGCCUUGCCCCCUGCCCCCACCAUCACAGGGUGUCCCUGUCUGGGGUUGGUGCUCUGUGGCAUUGCUUGUGUCCCUAGGAGUCCAUCAAGGCAGAGCUGCAAGUACCAGAUCAGCUUCCAGGUCUUCCAGGCUGCAUGUCCCCCUCAAUGUCCUUUCAGCCCAAUGGAAAUGGCUUGAGAGAGUGAAAGUCACUGAUCUCAAAGAAUCUACAGAAUUCAGCAUUUUGAAAAUCACAUAGCAAUUUGGGAUAGGCAUUCACAUGCACUAAUAAACCAGGCAAACAUCCGACUCCCAGGACAAAGUGAUGGAGAGCAUUAGAAGGCUUGUUGAGCCUUAAGGAAUAAGGGGAAAAUCAUGCUAUGAAGUGCAGGACCAGCACAGACCCAGAGGAGGGGAUGCAGCCUGGAGCCAGCAACCCAGCACCUCCUUCUCCCCAGGACGCAGCGCUGACUGAUCCCCGGAUGUCCGUAGUCACACGUCCCAGGUCCUGAGAGCCCUUCAAAGAUGGACAGUUCUUUGGGAAUUUUAGGACGCAGCACUUGAAGACAGGUUUACCUAAACUUUCCUCCUGGGAGCCUGUGAUCAUUUGAAAGUAACAGAAGAAAGUUGUCAGGCUGAGCAAACAGUUUCAACAGGCACGUGGUGAGAAUGGGAACCAUCCCUUCAUUGCGAAAUCGCGGGGACAGAGGAGGAAUUCACGGGAUCAGAGCACUGAAAAACUCCAGGGGCUUCUGGUUCACCGCCCUGAUUCCACAGAUGAGGAUCAGAGGCAGAGGUGGAAGCUGGAAUGGACAAGCCUGCCCACUCCUCGGCUCUCCAUGGCUCUGUGCUCAGUCUGUUUCUGCAAUUUGACAUGAGGCCUGGCCCUCGGGAAAGCAGCGGGGCCUCAUCUCCUCCCUGUGCUGCUCUGAGAUGGAGCCUUCUCAGGGUCAGCCCAGCUCUGGAGCACCUCUCCAGCUGGGUCACCAAAGCGGUCUGGUCCCAAGGCGGUGCUGAGUGACAGGCACGCCACCCAAUCCAAUCGGCCAUUUCAUACCUAGUGCAUGUGACUGAUAAAGAUUUAACGCCCUGUCUCCAAGACACAGGCUUUACACAAACAGCUUUAACGACCUCUUCACUUAGAGACCAGACUCCUUAGUGGUGGAACCUCAGGCAUCCGUGCAGGAUGUAAGAAAGCUCCCGUAUAUACGUGAACUGAGAAGUGUGCAGAAGAAUAAAUACUGUAAUAGAUAAUAAAAUGUAUGUGUUUUUAUUUAUAUGCUACUUUCUCUUUCUCCCUCUCUCUGUAUAUAUACAUACAUACAAAAAUGUAUUCAUUCUAUGGAAAACAUGAAAGAUGUCAUAUUAUUUACAUCUGAAAUUUUAAUUAAUGUAUUUUUUCUGAUCAUAUGACCACCACAAAUAUAGUUUUAUAAUGUUUUUACUUAACAAGAAGUCUUAAACAUAAAUAUAUACGGACAAUAUUGUAGUUUUUUAAAAAAAUUCAUAUCAUAAUUAAAGUGGUUGUGAAACA